AACCUAGCACACCUGCGGUGUGUACCUGCGGAGGGAUCAUUAUUGAUUUUUAACAGGAUGUGCUGGCUCUUCUGGAGCAUGUGCACUCCUAACAAAAACCAAUAUCCACCUGUGCACCUUUAGUAGGCAGGAAAAAGACUUUUUUUCUUGUCUAUGUUUUCUAUCACAAACACUUGAUCUAUUCGAAUGCUUAUGCAACAAAUAAUAUUUGUUAAACAACUUUCAACAAUGGAUCUCAGA
This 240-nucleotide unclassified non-coding RNA is filed under the name soil metagenome. RNAcentral's name for it is "partial contains 5.8S ribosomal RNA, internal transcribed spacer 2, and large subunit ribosomal RNA". The record is from RNAcentral.